CUACGGGGCGCUCCAGUGAGGAAUAUUGCACAAUGGGGGGAACCCUGAUGCAGCAACGCCGCGUGGAGGAUGACGCAUUUCGGUGUGUAAACUCCUUUUAUAUGUCAAGAAAAUGACGGUAGCAUAUGAAUAAGCACCGGCUAACUCCGUGCCAGCAGCCGCGGUAAUACGGGAGGGUGCAAGCGUUACUCGGAAUCACUGGGCGUAAAGGACGCGUAGGCGGGUUGGAAAGUCAGGUGUGAAAUCCUACAGCUUAACUGUAGAACUGCACUUGAAACUUCUAAGCUAGAGUAUGGGAGGGGGAGAUGGAAUUAGUGGUGUAGGGGUAAAAUACGUAGAUAUCACUAGGAAUACCUAAAGCGAAGGCGAUCUCCUGGAACAUUACUGACGCUAAGGCGUGAAAGCGUGGGGAGCAAACAGGAUUAGAUACCCGGGUAGUC
RNAcentral lists this ribosomal RNA (440 nucleotides) under uncultured bacterium. RNAcentral describes it as "partial 16S ribosomal RNA". It matches the Rfam family "Bacterial small subunit ribosomal RNA", at positions 339 to 795 of the family's 1533-position model. The record is from RNAcentral.